RNAcentral lists this long non-coding RNA (5927 nucleotides) under Chlamydomonas reinhardtii. RNAcentral's name for it is "long non-coding RNA (CREI_LNC000175)". Lineage: Eukaryota; Viridiplantae; Chlorophyta; Chlorophyceae; Chlamydomonadales; Chlamydomonadaceae. The record is from RNAcentral.
CGGGCUGGAAGUCGCGGGCAGUCUUGGGGCGCUGGACCAGGAAGCCCAUGAUCUGCACCUGCUUCUGGUUGUCGAAGGCCACCAGGCGCACGUAGGCAUCGGGGAAGGCCUUGGUGCAGGCGACGAUCUCGCGCAGCACCUGCAUGGGGUCGCGGCAGCCGAACAUGGGCAGCUUCCACAUGGUCCAGUAGCGGUUGUCGUAGUACAGCUGCGGGCGCACGGGAAAUGGGAGGGAGAAGAGGUUCAGUCACCAGCGCACAGAACCACCAAAGAUGGAAUUGGGCCCCUUGCUUUUCCGUGCUGAAGCACGAGCAGGGGUAUGCGUCAGUUCCCCGCGGUGAGAUAGGCGCUGUCCCGGUGCCAAGCUAACCCAGUGCCACAGUGGACCCGUCUGGCUCUCGCUCCGACUUACGCAAGACACGCUGCCGAAGCGGAUGGCCGACUCGUUGGACACGUAGGCCUUGUCGGCCUCAGCGAACUCCAGGCAGGGGAUCCAGCCUGCAAGCGACAGCACGAAGGGGGUAAGAUAAGUGGCCGACGCAAGCAGUCCAGGGCUAUCCCAGAUAAGGGCGGAUGACAGGCAAACUAUACAGCAGACAACGAACAAGCUAAUCUCAAGCUUCGAGCGAUCGUAAUGUCGCAGUCUGCAGCUACGCCCUAGAUCGUAUUAACUAGCUCUCAAACACAGCCCAGCUACAUAUGCCCACGGCACCAAGCCGUGCUCACCGUUGGCGACGAUGUAGUCGACCUGGGCGGCGAUCUGCUCGUCGGUCAGAGGAGGCAGGUAGGAGAAGGUCUCGAACAUCCUGCGAUCACGCGAUUGACCAGUACUCGUUAGAAGUGGCAGAGCACGUGCGAUGUGAGGCAGCAGGCUGGGCCCCAAGCAAUUGCGUCGCGACUUGCAGAAUCCCUAUCCUUCGGGCUGCGCUUGCUCGUCGACUCACUUGUUGUUGACCGGGGUCCAGACCAUCAUCUGGUUGGCCUGAGCCGGGGCAGCCACGGGGGCAGCCUUGACGGCGGGCUUCAGCGCGGCCAUGGGGCGCACGCUGGAGCGGGCCGGGCGAGCCACGGCCGCGGAGACGGAGGACUUGGCAAUGACGGCGGCCAUUUUAGAUGUUUGAGAAAGUGGUCGAAUGAACGAGUAAGUUCUUGGGACAAAGACUCGGAGGUGGCCGGUCGCCGUUUUCAAUCCCCGCUCGCCGAUGACCCGUACGGCAGGCUUAUCCGACUCGUCGGCUUUCACGACCGCCCGAGCCUGCGCGCUUCAUCCGCUUCCGGAUAGCUUGCUACGAUAAUGCAUUAUUCAAUUUUACGACGCAAUGUCAUGAGCAGCGCCGGGCGGGCUUAUUUACAUGCGUCGCCUCGCUCGCCGUUGACUUGAUACUUUGGAAAUUCGGGCUCGAUUCGUUGCUACAGCCUGCCUUUUGCACACAAUGUGAACGUCGAUUCUACAUUUGUAUGUGACUGAACUUCGCGGCCCCUACUGAACGUUUCGUGCAAGCGACAUGUCGACUCACAACUUGGAGGAACGCGCGAGGGGUCCCCACACGCACUUUCAGCCUGCUUUGGCGAAAUGGACAUGAUAGGUAUAGCCAGGAUAUGGGUCUGCUAGCUCGCCUGGUGUUUUGACCGUCGAUCGGUUUCGCGUUGGGCCUUGCGGCUGCUCGCUCGCCGCGGAUGCUUCCGCACACUGCGCGGCACGUGUUAGUCUGUGCACGACGACGGUUUGUUUGUAUUGCGCCGCCAACGUUCAACGGUGGUGGUAGGUUCGAAUGUCAGAAUGUCGGGCACGGGGACCUUGGGCGCAUUGCCUACAAGCGCGUGCCUGUGUUUUUGGGGGGCAGAGAAGUGAGCCUGCCUAUUGGGUCACAAUAGCACAGAGGCGGGUGGCCAGCGUCGGGAACUGGUUCAGAACGGCUGCAGGGACAGCACCGUGCGUGCGUGUGUGUGUGGGGGGAGCCUUCAAAGUUGACGAGCUUCGCAGCGCUGGGAUGGACUGGCAUUGCGUGCUUGAGUUUGCGUCCCGUGAGAACCCUGCAGUUUAUGGCGGAGACAGGGAAGAGGGAAUGGGAUCGCGCCGGUGCAGGGAAAGGGCACGAAUCUGAGGUUACGGUAUCUGGGGGGAGGUGCCCAUGUGGGAGGGGAAGCCUAACUGCCUGUCUGGGUGCAGACCAGGAAUGGCAACACGUGAACGGUUAGUAGAGAGCUGUGUGCUGUUGGGCGCUCUCGGCAAGGGGCGUGGGAGGGGGCUGGGUUGGUGGGCGGCUGUCCGCACAGUGCCUAGCAGUGCGCACUCAGGCCCUUCGCAGACCGAAGAGGGCGCCAGGGCCUAUGCGCGCGUGGCUUGGCGUGAGGUUCUUGCUGUUGGCGUCAGGCGCCGCAAAAGGCCGGGUGGCUCUGCAGUGUCCUGCUCGCUUGGCGUGCGGCAAAGUGGUUCAGUCAGCGAGCGCAGUGUAUGCGUGUGUGCGUGUAUGCGUGUGCGUGCGUGUGUGUGUGUGUGUGUGUGUGUGUGUGUGUGUGUGUGUGGUUGCUGCGGAGAGGGCACGCAGCGACACGAGAUUGCCAUGCAGUGGUGCAAGCUGCUGGGGUCGGGUAAACGGGGUGGGAAAGUUGGUGAUGGUGGAAUGUUCUUGUGGCACGAACUGGCCUUGUGCGUAUUCGUUCGCCCCGUUCACUCUGGUCCACCAAUCCCACAGUCACUGCACUUAAAUGCCUAAAAGCCCCUGCUACGGUGCGGACAGGGUAAGGCCACGGCAGGUCUAAGUCCAUAUGCGCCCGUAGAGGUUCGAGUGCGUUAACCGGUCGCAAGGUGUUCACAACAUGUUGAUGUGUUGACAACAUGGCUGUGGUCAAGACGUGCCCUGCGAACUUCCCGUGUUUACAUGUUAAUAGAGCUCGCUGACAGCAGUCAUUUGACACCAUUAUGGAAGAAAACAGAGGGGAUUUAGGGGGUGUACGGCACGGUAUGGCACGGUCGGUCGUCGGUCCGGGGGGUCGGGGGGUUCUGCAGGGUGGGGCCUGGAACUAUUGUUCGUACACCCCCGCCUGGCUCCCCUGCUCCCCCUGACUAACCCCUGACCUCUGGCUUUCUUCGCUUUCCUUUCAGUGUCACCAAUUCUCAUGAGUGGGGGCGCACCCCGAAAUAAGCGGGUACGGUGCUUCAGUUCAGUGCUUGCCACGGCCUCAAGAGCCCCAAACCACGUGCACCGAAAUUCGCUUGCACUCCAAAUGCACUGGGAAGCCAGUAGCAGCGCGCUCUCAAAUGCUGGCAUGUGUCUCUCUCUGUCCAGAGCCUGAAUGCGCCAAGUCUGCUACGGUAGGAGGGUGCAACCCGUGGCCCGCCUUGAACCGCGCUUGCACACACAGCUGGAUUGCUGCUGGCAUGACCGUGUGAAAGAGGUACAGGCAGCCGGGCAAGUCCCAGCGGGCAGGUUGGUGUAGGCUAUGCCCCAUAACAGGCCCGUGCAUGCUGCCACGGACUUCUCGCCAGGAAUGUAAGUCCCGAUGCUAGACAAUUACUCCAGCAGCUGCAUGCCGCCAUCUUCAGUACUCGGUAUCCCUUGGUGCACGCAAGUCAAGGAUCAGUCCCAGGGCUCACCCUGGAGCAAUGCAGCCUGCGUGUGCACCUGCGAUGGAGCCGCGGCCUGCGGUAUUGGCUGCCCGAUUACGAAGCUGCGGGUGGGGGCAGUUGGCACGCAUUCCGCCACAGACCCCGCGAGCCUAGCCGCACCCAAGCUCUAAGCGGCCUAGACCGUGACCAAAGGCGAAGAAGCCGCGGCCAUCCCUGCGCUCAGAUUGCAUUGGUUACAAGAGGGACCUGCUGACGCAGUUCAUGGCUUCAUGCGCUCAGAGCCCGAGCCCUGAGCGGCAGCAAAAGCAGAAGCCACGCUACGUGUGCUAGCUACGACCAAUGCCUUGUACAGCUCUCCUCGGCUGCGCUCUUCGGCUGCGCUCCUCGGCUGCGCGGGACAGGGGACUCCGUGCAACCACUAUUGCUUAUAGCCUGCACCAGUCAUUGACGAGUGUUGCGGAACUAAUGCGUACGUAGACCAGAGCGGAAGGCGGAGUGGGCUUGCAGGCGGCACGAGAGUAGGCAGUCAGUAGCGCAAGUUGCGAAUUCCCAUGUUACCUCGUAACCGACGGUAAACGCUGUGGACGGUCGCGCCCAUGGCUGGCUGACGGAAGCUGGCUGCGGUAUUGGGAUGGCUGGGCUGGAUGACGCCGGCCGGGCUGGCGUUGGGACUACCAGAAAGGAUGCGCCCGAAACCAACCUGGAGAACACCAGCGCCACCGGUGCCCAGCACGACAUGUAAGGGAGGGAGGGAGGGACAGGAGGCGUGAUGCACUGCAGCGUAGAAGCUGCAGUCAUGGGCACAGCUUGUACCAUACAGCACGGUCAUCAAGGACACAAUGCCGGAACGGCAUCAUACGAGGCGGGGUUGGGAGCUGCAGGAAGUGGGCAGCGGGGCAGAAUCAAAGGUUUGCAUCGUUUAGAACAGGUGCGGAACACGCGCCAGCGCCAGCGCGGAGGACCCCAAGUAAGGCCUUUACUCACCAAUGUACGUUUUGUACACCCAAUCUCGCCCCCUAUCGACGUUGGCACUAGGUAGCUGGCUAUCAUUCUAUGCAGAUUAAGCAAAGGGGCACCGGGAACAACUGACUCAUGUUCGUCACUGCAGGUUACUGCAAAUGCUGUCUCCACCUUUGCUGCACGGUUCCGUUUCGUCACGUUUGCUGGUGUUGCUACCCGCCGUUCUUUAGUGUGUAACUGAUCUGCGAACCGAGUCCCCUUCAGCUGAUGAACCCCGCAGCAACUUUUCCAAAAGCGCUUCAAAUACGCCCAGCCCGCCCAUGGAGAAAGAGGCCAAAAUCAACGGAGGAUCGUUACAACCAACAAAAUUGCAAAACUCCUCCGCUUUUUACGUGUUGAAAAAGACUGAUCAGCACGAAACGGGGAGCUAAGCUACCGCUUCAGCACUUGAGAGCAGUAUCUUCCAUCCACCGCCGUUCGUCAGGGGGCAAGGCUCAGAUCAACGAGCGCCUCCAUUUACACGGAGCGCUUGUUGGCGGGCUGCCAGUCGCGGGCAGACUUGGGGCGCUGGACCAGGAAGCCCAUGAUCUGCACCUGCUUCUGGUUGUCGAAGGCCACCAGGCGCACGUAGGCAUCGGGGAAGGCCUUGGUGCAGGCGACGAUCUCGCGCAGCACCUGCAUGGGGUCGCGGCAGCCGAACAUGGGCAGCUUCCACAUGGUCCAGUAGCGGUUGUCGUAGUACAGCUGCGGGCGCACGGGAAAUGGGAGGGAGAAGAGGUUCAGUCACCAGCGCACAGAACCACCAAAGAUGGAAUUGGGCCCCUUGCUUUUCCGUGCUGAAGCACGAGCAGGGGUAUGCGUCAGUUCCCCGCGGUGAGAUAGGCGCUGUCCCGGUGCCAAGCUAACCAGUGCCACAGUGGACCCGUGUGCCAAAAGCUAACCCAGUGCCACAGUGGACCCGUCGGGCUCUCGCCAGACUUACGCAAGACACGCUGCCGAAGCGGAUGGCCGACUCGUUGGACACGUAGGCCUUGUCCGACUCAGCGAACUCCAGGCAGGGGAUCCAGCCUGCAAGCAAGGGGAUGAAGGGUGCCGCGAAGGGUGAACGAGGGACAAAGACACGGACAGGAACCGGAUAAGGGGCGGCUUGACCAAGAACUCACGCUCCGACCGCUACUUCGGCAACCCAAAUAAGUGAUUCCACGCUAUGGCUCUGUCGCUGUCGUAUAGCCCGGCUGGUAGCAGCUGGAAAGCUCAAGUGAGGCUGGACAAGCCGCGCUGGCAUGAGUGCAAGCUGUUUGCCCAAGAAAAAGCCGCCGAAAGCCCAGGCUGACUGCAGAUUCCUGACUUGGGCACUGUUCGUUGCUGGAGUGUUGCUCGCAACCCCGCAAGCUCA